This 253-nucleotide ribosomal RNA is filed under the name uncultured bacterium. RNAcentral's name for it is "partial 16S ribosomal RNA". It matches the Rfam family "Bacterial small subunit ribosomal RNA", at positions 524 to 776 of the family's 1533-position model. The record is from RNAcentral.
UACGUAGUGGGCAAGCGUUGUCCGGAAUUAUUGGGCGUAAAGCGCGUGUAGGCGGCUUUGCAAGUCGGGUGUGAAAGCCCUCAGCUCAACUGAGGAAGUGCGCCCGAAACUGCAGAGCUUGAGUACCGGAGAGGAUGGCGGAAUUCCCCAAGUAGAGGUGAAAUUCGUAGAUAUGGGGAGGAACACCGGUGGCGAAGGCGGCCAUCUGGACGGAUACUGACGCUGAGACGCGAAAGCGGGGGGAGCAAACAGG